RNAcentral lists this transfer RNA (69 nucleotides) under Rattus norvegicus (Norway rat). It matches the Rfam family "tRNA". Rfam says of the family: Transfer RNA (tRNA) molecules are approximately 80 nucleotides in length. Their secondary structure includes four short double-helical elements and three loops (D, anti-codon, and T loops). Lineage: Eukaryota; Metazoa; Chordata; Mammalia; Rodentia; Muridae. The record is from Rfam by way of RNAcentral.
GGGGAUUUGGCUCAGUGGUAGAGCGCUUGCCUAGCAAGCACAAGGCCCUGGGUUCAAUCCUCAGCUCCG